RNAcentral lists this ribosomal RNA (584 nucleotides) under uncultured bacterium. Its description in RNAcentral is "bacterial SSU rRNA". It matches the Rfam family "Bacterial small subunit ribosomal RNA", at positions 338 to 916 of the family's 1533-position model. The record is from RNAcentral.
CCUACGGGAGGCAGCAGUAGGGAAUAUUGCGCAAUGGGGGCAACCCUGACGCAGCGACGCCGCGGGAGUGAUGAAGGCCUUUCUGGUUGUAAAGCUCUGUAAAGAGGGAAGAAUGUCAGGCGGUAAUGCGUCUGAGUGACGGUACCUCUGAAGUAAGGACCGGCUAAACACGUGCCAGCAGCCGCGGUAAUACGUGUGGUCCUAGCGUUGUCCGGAAUAACUGGGCGUAAAGGGUGUGUAGGCGGAUAUCCGUGUCAGGUGUGAAAUCCCCCGGCUUAACUGGGGCAUUGCGCUUGAAACUGGAUAUCUGGAGCGUGUCAGGGGUAAGCGGAAUUCCCGGAGUAGCGGUGAAAUGCGUAGAUAUCGGGAAGAACACCGGUGGCGAAGGCGGCUUACUGGGACAUGGCUGACGCUGAGGCACGAAAGCGUGGGGAGCGAACGGGAUUAGAUACCCCGGUAGUCCACGCUGUAAACGAUGGAUACUAGAUGUCUGUUGCAUUAAAGCAGUUGGUAUCGAAGUUAACACGAUAAGUAUCCCGCCUGGGGAGUACGGUCGCAAGAUUAAAACUCAAAGGAAUUGACGG